This 25-nucleotide non-coding RNA is filed under the name Arabidopsis thaliana (thale cress). The record is from RNAcentral. Lineage: Eukaryota; Viridiplantae; Streptophyta; Magnoliopsida; Brassicales; Brassicaceae. RNAcentral also lists the same sequence under 1 other name.
GAACCAUCUAGUAGCUGGUUCCCUC